AGAGCACAAUAAAACACACCUGCGCUAAUUAAUUAGCCGCUAUCUUGCCUUGUUUCUUCAGUAAUGGCCUCCUGGAUAAAACGUAGGGAAGUCGCCCUCUUUUCCAUCACUUUUCUGUCUUUUUGUGGUGCUUCUUUCGCUGAAAAUAACGACGUGGAAACUCGGGAGAGUCUCGAUAUUCAGUGCGGAGAAGUCAAAAUGAGAAUAACCGUGAAGCGACAGUUUUUCCAAGACAGAGGUGUUCCGUUCAAACCCGAGUAUCUUCGACUCGGAGGAAACCUGACUCGGAAAGAGUCCUGCGGACCGAAGGGACCGCUGUCUGACGGGGAAAUGGUCAUUUCUGCCGGGCUGCAGGAAUGUGGUACCGAGUCCAGUGUUCAUGGUGAGUGGCUUGUGUAUUCCAACAAGCUGCACCUGCUUUCUGCUGUGCUUCAUACUUCUACAGGCAGUGCCAUAAUUAAAGGGGCAACUACCAUCAUACCUGUUGAGUGUCUCUAUAAGAGAAAGCAGAAAGUCACGAUGGGGCCGUUAUCCCCUACCUGGGUACCGUUGACAUCCACGAUCAAUGUCUUUGGCUUUCUGCGUUUCUCCCUACGUUUCAUGACAGGUGAAACUACCAUGCUGCUGAAUCUGAACUGCAUCAGUGGGAGAUUCCUCUGUAAUAUUGUUUCUAACUGGAGUACUUAUUCAACUGGUACUGAAAAAUCUAUGUCUGUCUGUUCCUACUCAGACGGUUGCACCUCUCGGCGUAGUCCCUUAGUGUACCAGCAGGGGGAAGCAGUGUUUUUGGAGGCCAGCGUGGACGCCCCACUACAUCCUCCUCUCACUAUAUAUGUCGACUCUUGUGUGGCUACACUGAAGCCUGACCCUCUCUCCUUGCCAAGCUACAAGUUUCUCACCAAGCAUGGAUGUCUUGUGGACAGUUUACUACCAGGCUCUCCAUCUAAAUUCCUCCCAAGGGAACAAAACAACAGACUGUGCUUCAGCUUCCAAGCCUUCCAGUUCAACCAGAAGUCAGGGGAGCAGAUGUUCAUCAGCUGCCAUCUUAGGGCCACUCUGACACAAAACUCACAUACCCACCUCGAUAAAGCCUGCUUCUUCCAUAGACCUUCAUUCAGCUGGCGUGCCACAGAGGGAGACAGUUCUCUGUGUGAGUGCUGUGACUCUGUUGACUGCUCUGGAAUGACUGCAGAGAACAGCAGUGACCACGCUGGACCCACAACUCAACCAGAGACAGAAAAGAAGCUUGAUGCUUACAAGACAGUUGGGCCACUUUACACCCUGAAACGCUCCCUGUGGGGGGGCCGUCUGGUAGUGAGUCACUAAAGAGCCCUUCUCCAACUUUACAGUUAGGUUUCCCAGAGACUAUGGGUUGAGGAGGAAUUGGAAGUUUAGUCGGCUUAGACCUGGUGUCAUUCCAUCAGUGUUAAACUUCCCAGCUCAUCUUGGAAGAGUACGUGCCAGAAAGACCACGACCAAGUAGCCUUGAGAUCUUAGCAGCGUCUCCCUGAGACCAAAGAACUACAGACUCUUCACAACCUGCUCAAACUCUUGGUACAGGACCUCACCACACGAGUCAAGAAGGUUUCCUUCUCCUCAUUUCUACUCUGAAGCUCACCUUCUCCUGCUCAAACUGCUGACAAAUGUUUCUGCUGCUCUAAAGUCUGGUCCCCAGAACUUCCUAAAAACUCUCAAAGUCUCUUCUGCUGCAGGUUGCUUUGUAGAACUGUUCCAGAAAACCUCACUAAACCACAUGGAGGGGCCUCAAGAUAGUCGUCCAAAUGAAACUGUACAAAAACCAAACUAGCACAACCCAAACGCUAAAGUCUCCUGCAGCCUACCAGAGAACCUCUGAGAACAGAGAAUCAGGACAGGAACUCUUACCUUCUGGACAACCAACACUGGUUCUCAAACAAGAAUACAGAAUGUGUCUGACCAAAAACCUCUGAAGACUCACUACAGCCAAGAUAAAGACACAACUCAGCUGCAGCAAAUCCACUAAUCACUGCACACAUUAGCACCAUGUGCUAACUGUGGCUAAAGAACCACAUUCACCAAGACAACUAUCCAGUACAAAGCCCUAAAACACACCAAGAAACACAUUAAAGACGAUUUUACUGUUGGAAGCUGGAAGCAAAUGCCUAAAGAACAAACUAAAGCAAUGGAGCCAAACCAGGUUCAUUGGUGAACAGAAGCAGAGGAAAUGUUUGUCUGCAGCUAAAUAAAGCAGGAAGACACUGAGCUGCUCAGGUGUUCCUGAUAACACCAAGCUGCUCAGGUGUUCCUGAUAACACCAAGCAGCCACCUGGACAGCCAAUAGGAACACAGCUUACUGGAAGUCCAGAGGGCGGGGUUAGUGAAGGAAAUUUACUUUAAAGUUGAAGCAGAAAGUUAACAAAGUAAGUUGAAAACCACCUUCUGAUCCCUGAAAUCUCUGAGUUUUCACACAAAGAACACCUGAACAUGUCAAACUGGCUUCAUAGUAGAACCAUCAUUGUAAAAACGUCAUAGUAUGGUGUGUUGCUCAAAAAACAUUAGGACCCAGCUGUCAGGGGACAAACAUGUAAGAAACAUGAGAACAGAGAGAAUCCAACCAGUAGGUCACAGUUUAUCAUCCCCCAGUCAUCUCCUGAAGUCCAUAUGGUGAGAGACAUCAGUAUCUGGUUGUUAAUUUACCAGAGGAUGCUUAUAAUCAUGCUGAUGUGGUCUGUACUCUACAGUAUUUUACUGACUCAAUAAAUGCCUAAGUUGUUUUUAAAAAUGCUUUUUAGUUUAGUUUUUAGUUUAACAGCCUAUAUGUAAUCAAUAAAUGGCCUUUGCCUAUCUUAAGAAAAAUUCACUCAGAACUCUGAUAUGUUAACAGUACUAAAUAAAUCAAUAAAUACAUGCAUACACACAAAAAUAAGUUAAUACAUUAACUGUGUUAAGAUUUAGAUUUAGAUUUUUAAAAAAAAGUUGUUUAUGUUUUUGCAGAAUCCAGUAUUGCUCACUGGUUGGUCAUUACAUUUUAUUAGUUUGAUUUCACUGUUUAAAAUGAUGCCGCCGCUUUUCAGACAGAACCUGUGAUAAUAAAACAAUACAACAUUUUUAGUUCCGUGUUAAUAAAGCACUUAAAGCUUUAAGUAUGGCUAAAUGCUUUUUUCAAAAUUAAAUAUAUCACUCCUUAGGUGGUAGUGGCCCCAAGUUCAGUAAAGUUGGAAAGAUAUUCACAGAUUCGGACUUCCAGCAUCAAUAACUCAUUAGAUAUAGGUUGUCAAAACAUAAACGGUGCCUCUUUCCCAUUGUUGCAAGGCAGACAAUGUGCUACAAGUCCAGUUUUAUCAAAAGUAGCUGUCUUUCAAGCUACAGGAAUAACAUUGGUGUCUAUGGAGUGAACAGGGUCCGUCUGCAAUUUGCAGAACCUCUGCAACAGUAAAGAGAGACAAAUAUUCAAUAACUUCACUCUUAUACAUUGUAGUGUCACUAAAAUCACUGCAGCCUUCAACUGGCUCCUGUUGACAAAGUGUUUUAACAUAAAUGUAAAUGCUGUAAUUUGAUUCUUUUAAUGAACCAUGUAACUUGAAUGGAUGUGAUGCUGGUGUGACCACAGUGCACACGUCUGAUGUUGCUCACAGUGGUCCAAGGAAACGCUCAGGGAGUUUGUGUGUUUGCUCACACUCAGGAAAAAUUACAGGGAACAUUGAUUGGGAAAGAUUCUUAAUCUAGGUUGGGGAAAAAAAGUCUCUUUCCAUUCAUCUGCACAAGUUGCAAAAGGAGUGUUCUGUACUGUGGUGCACUGGUUUAAAAUCAUGUUAUUUUUUAGGUGGUUGAAUACUUUACUCAUCAUCCAAAUGACUGAAUUCAGUGAGGGAGAAACUCCAGGGAUGAGGUUCCUGUCUAAACUUGUGGCCGUUACUAUGGGAUCACAAUAGGUUGAAUAAAAUUAGAAGAUUCUUAUCAGUGUGGAUGCCUGUAUGCUGAAACAAUAACUUCCGACCUCGCCAGUGGCCGCUGUCUUGGCUCCUGCCUCGGCUCCUACGUCCCUCGCAGUCGGUUCCCCCAUUCUUUUAUGUCAGCUUCCUGUCUUGUGUCGCGCCAGAGUAGAUCUAGCUGGCUGCAAGCCCAAAACCUGAAUGGCAAAGUGAAACACACACACACGCACGCACGCACACACACACACACACACACACACACACACACACACACACACACACACACACACACACACACACACACACACACACACACACACACACACACACACACACACACACACACACACACACACACACAGGGAAUGUCACAGCUAUGCGCUUUCACUGCCUCUUAUAUAGCACAAUGCAGCCUCUUUCCCGUUAUCUUGUUUGCAUCACCCCGUGUCAUCUUUGUUUAUUAACUAGUUCAUGUGUAAGUGAGGAACAGGUAAAGUGCACUUGGCUUCUCCCCCAUCUUUAUAUCUCCCUGCCUCCUUUAAAUCAUCCUAAAUUCAAUAACUGUGUCCUAUUCCAAACCCGGAGUCAGUGUGACUGGACACCCCUGCCCCCGCAUUCCCUCACAUCCCUCACCUCCCACCUCAAUGCUGUGCUUUGGUCAUGAAGCAUGGUUUGCAGCACGUACCUUGUCUCCCUCCACUCUGUCUCUCAUGUUGGCUCAGACAUAAGCAAACAGCCCUUUGAGCAAACAGUGCAACAAUGCUGUCAACACUGUCUUUGGCUCAGCACAGUGGUGACCAUGUAGCUUUAAAGCUGAGUCACAUGAAGUCCAGGAUCAGAGAUAUAAAUAUAAACUUAGGAGAGAAUACGUAGAAAGUUACUCUCACUUAUGAAUAUUUUAUACGUAUUUAAACACAUGAAAGACAAUGUAAUCAAUUAAUGUUAAAUGCAGUAUUUCUUCAAGCUAUGGCAUGAAAUUUGGGAUAUUUUGACAGGAAAUAAGGUAUAAAUCCAGAAAUACUGUUGUUGCUCUUGUUCACAAGUAAAGGAAUUAUUGGAAAUACUCACACGGUAUAUCCCUUUUUCUGUAUUGUUGAUAUUCACAUCAGGAGAAAAUCCUUUUUGUGUUUCAAGUAUUUCAUAUAUUUUCUCCUUUAAAUCAUUUUAUCUCUUAACCCUUGUGUUGUCCUGCGGGUCAAAAUUGACCCGUUUUAAAGUUUGAAAAUGUGGGAAAAAAAAUAUAUUUUCACAGUGAAACUUCUGAUGUGCACAUUUUGAACAUUUUUGGGAAAUCUUUGAACAUUUUUUGGUGGAAAAAAAAGAAAUGUUAAAAAUGUUUCUUAAGAACAUUCACAAAAAAAUCAACCAAAAAUCAACCAAAAAAAAAAAAAAAAUCCAGCAAAUUUCACUGGAUUUUGGUUGAUUUUCACGUGAAUGUUCUUAAAGAAAAUAUUAGAAAUUUUACUGAUAUAUAUGUAAUCACUUGAGAUAUUUUUAGGAUUUUUUUUCUGAAGAUUUUUACAGAUUUUUUGAAAAUAUUUACUAGAAUUUUCUUGCCAAAUUUGGGGUAUUUUUUUUUAAAAAAAAUAAUACUUUUAAGGGAAACUUAAGAAAUUAUUGGAAUUUUCUUCCUUAAGGUUUUGCAAAUUUUCAGAAAUUUGGGGAAUCUUUUUGCUGAAUUUUGGGAUUUUUUUCAGACAAGGAAACAAUAUUUUUUUGGUGCCUGUAAAUGAAGACAACAGGAGGGUUAAUGCAUUUGUGCACGUGUGUUUUGUGCCAUACAUGCAGCGUAUACAGGCUUAUGAAACAGCAUGCAGCAAUCAUGUCAGCUUGGUCACUUUUAUCAGCGUUUCAAGGCAUUUCUGCAAAUAAAGCUGCGUGUGUCACUUUACAUUGCGUGCUGGCACAUGAUAAUGCACAUGCAAACAUGCCUUUACUUCUCAUCUGAUGGAAGACACCCCUCGAAGAAAUUUCCUGGAAGUCCUCUCUGUGUGUCACACUGUCGGUUUCCAGGAAAUUUCAAUAUAUUUCCUUUACUCUGGCUCCAAACAGGCUGUCGGGGUUCAGGGUGAAGGGAAAUUAAUGCCUCUGCUUGAUGUACAGAAAAUAAUUGCAGUCUAGUCUGUUUAACACAUCUGCUCUGAUCUCAUGAAUAUCCCUAACUGCAUCGCACUAAUUUACUUAUAAAAUAUUGCUAACUUUUCAUGGAAUUGUAUACAGCAUUCAUAAUUCUGAAAAUUAAUUAUUGUACAAAGUAAAAAAUGUAUUCUGGCUC
RNA transcript from Amphiprion ocellaris (clown anemonefish), 6186 nucleotides. It is a transcript of the gene named zona pellucida sperm-binding protein 3-like, with no coding region annotated. The transcript is spliced from 9 exons. The record is from RefSeq and is a predicted model, not a curated record. Lineage: Eukaryota; Metazoa; Chordata; Actinopteri; Pomacentridae.